Cinara cedri is the source of this 212-nucleotide non-coding RNA. The record is from the annotation of a GenBank genome assembly. NCBI's taxonomy places the organism in Eukaryota, Metazoa, Arthropoda, Insecta, Hemiptera, Aphididae.
UGGUGCAUUGGGGAAGUCAUGUUUUGAUUUUUUAACUAGUUAUCAUAAUAAUUAAGAAAAACUUAUGAAAAUCAUAAGUACGUAAUUUUGAAAAUAUUACAAUUAUUUUCAGAACAUCAUAAAAACAGAAAAACUAUUUUACACUGAAUUGUUUAAUAUUUUUAUAGGUACUGUAUUCUUAAUAUUUUUUACUUGUAUGACACAUAUUUUUU